ACCUGGUUAGUUAAGUUGGUAAAGCGCUCCACUGGAAAUGGAAAGGCCCCUGGUUCGGUUGCAGGACCAUGCG
Ixodes scapularis (black-legged tick) is the source of this 73-nucleotide non-coding RNA. NCBI's taxonomy places the organism in Eukaryota, Metazoa, Arthropoda, Arachnida, Ixodida, Ixodidae. The record is from Rfam.